GAUGAAGAACGUAGCGAAAUGCGAUAAGUAAUGUGAAUUGCAGAAUUCAGUGAAUCAUCGAAUCUUUGAACGCACAUUGCGCCCGCCAGUAUUCUGGCGGGCAUGCCUGUUCGAGCGUCAUUUCAACCAUCAAGCCCCCGGGCUUGUGUUGGGGACCUGCGGCUGCCGCAGGCCCUGAAAAGCAGUGGCGGGCUCGCUGUCACACCGAGCGUAGUAGAUUUUAUCUCGCUCUGGGCGUGCCGCGGGUUCCGGCCGUUAAACCACCCUUUUAACCCAAGGUUGACCUUGGAUCAGGUAGGAAGACCCGCUGAACUUAAGCAUAUCAAUAAGCGGAGGA
RNAcentral lists this unclassified non-coding RNA (337 nucleotides) under soil metagenome. Its description in RNAcentral is "partial contains 5.8S ribosomal RNA, internal transcribed spacer 2, and large subunit ribosomal RNA". The stretch from base 1 to 120 matches the Rfam family "5.8S ribosomal RNA", at positions 35 to 154 of the family's 154-position model. The record is from RNAcentral.